RNAcentral lists this long non-coding RNA (1017 nucleotides) under Mustela putorius furo (domestic ferret). RNAcentral describes it as "lncRNA (ENSMPUG00000029478.1)". Lineage: Eukaryota; Metazoa; Chordata; Mammalia; Carnivora; Mustelidae. The record is from RNAcentral.
CUGUCAAAUAAAUAAACAAAUAAAAUCUUAAAAAAAAAUAGAACUACUUAGGAGGGCCUUGCUGGCUCUGUCAUUAGAGCAUAUGACUCUGUAUUUUAGGGUUAUAAGUUUGAGCCCUGUGUUAGGUGUAGAGAUUACUUAAAAAUAAAAUCUUUAAAAAACCAGAACUAAUCACAGGCCAAUGGUUGUUUUUAGAUGAACACAUUUUGUCUUUUGUCUUCCAUAGAUCACAAUUCAGAGAAGAGGGAUAAAGAAUCCUCUCUCUCCAACAGGAAUAUGAAUGAACCAUUUACUGCUAUAAAUAAAGAAACACUUGAAGCAGCAGCUAAGACAGAUAUUCCAGAUAAGACCGUACCAUGUGAGCAGCUUCUGCAGUUCCUCCAGAGGAACAUCAUCAUUGGUGCUGGCUCGGUGGCGGGAGUCCUCGUGGUCACAGCAUUGUUGCUGCUGGCAUUGACCAUGUGCUGCAGGAGGAAACAGCAAUCACAUCCUCCAGCGAACAUGACAUAUAAUAUUUUUAUUCUGCGUGGGAAGUCUUGGUGGCAGAAGUUUCAAGAAAAGAACCCCCAAAAGCACAGUGAGAAACAGAAACAGUUGUUGAAGGGCAAGUCCUCUGUCUAAGCCAGCUGGUGGGGCCCGCCAAACCAGGACCAGAAGCUGUGAUGCCAGGCAAUUGUCCACCCAGACACCACGGAGAGGCAUUUGAUUUCUGGCUGUGAGGUGUGCUCCACAAAAUGUUUACCUUCUCCUGUUAGUCUCGAAUGGACCAAGACACGGAUGUUGUACUACAGGGUGCUUAGAAUUUGGUACGGCACUGAUAGCUAGGGCAGGAGAUGCAGCACAUUUGCCCAAACACAAACCUGACCAACUACUAAGUUCUUUAUUUAUUAAAGCAUUGAUUCUCUGAUUCAGCCAUUCAGGGAGCAGAUAUUAAUUGAAUGCCUAAUAUGUAGACAAUCUCAAGCAUGAGGCAACCAAAGGUUUUGGAAACAGGCCUGGUCCUUGUGGGUUUCUGAG